ACGCUCGUAACUCAAUUGGAUAGAGUAACAGGCUACGGACCUGUAAGUUGCGGGUUCGAUUCCUGCCGAGCGUG
Molecule: transfer RNA, 74 nt
Filed under: Bulbochaete rectangularis var. hiloensis
Lineage: Eukaryota; Viridiplantae; Chlorophyta; Chlorophyceae; Oedogoniales; Oedogoniaceae
Description: tRNA-Arg
Rfam family: tRNA
About the family: Transfer RNA (tRNA) molecules are approximately 80 nucleotides in length. Their secondary structure includes four short double-helical elements and three loops (D, anti-codon, and T loops).
Source: RNAcentral